RNAcentral lists this ribosomal RNA (484 nucleotides) under uncultured bacterium. RNAcentral describes it as "partial 16S ribosomal RNA". It matches the Rfam family "Bacterial small subunit ribosomal RNA", at positions 28 to 523 of the family's 1533-position model. The record is from RNAcentral.
GACGAACGCUGGCGGCGUGCUUAACACAUGCAAGUCGAACGAUGAAGCCGGAGCUUGCUCUGGUGAAUUAGUGGCGAACGGGUGAGUAACACGUGAGUAACCUGCCCUUGACUCUGGGAUAACUGCGGGAAACUGUAGCUAAUACCGGAUACGACCCUCGGAGGCAUCUCCUGGGGGUGGAAAGAAUUUCGGUCAAGGAUGGACUCGCGGCCUAUCAGCUAGUUGGUGAGGUAAAGGCUCACCAAGGCCAAGACGGGUAGCCGGCCUGAGAGGGUGACCGGCCACACUGGGACUGAGACACGGCCCAGACUCCUACGGGAGGCAGCAGUGGGGAAUAUUGCACAAUGGGCGCAAGCCUGAUGCAGCAACGCCGCGUGAGGGAUGACGGCCUUCGGGUUGUAAACCUCUUUUAGCAGGGAAGAAGCGAAAGUGACGGUACCUGCAGAAAAAGCACCGGCUAACUACGUGCCAGCAGCCGCCGUAA